AGUAGGGUAUUGUGCGUUAAGUGCCGUGCGAACGUGGGGUGUCGGCGGACGAAGGGUUUUCCCGCGGUGCAAUGCU
Molecule: non-coding RNA, 76 nt
Filed under: human gut metagenome
Also listed under: 1 other name
Description: THF riboswitch
Rfam family: THF (Tetrahydrofolate) riboswitch aptamer
About the family: THF riboswitch presents a pseudoknot that joins P1-P2 and the loop of P3 and two THF binding.
Source: RNAcentral